Molecule: ribosomal RNA, 497 nt
Filed under: uncultured bacterium
Lineage: Bacteria
Description: partial 16S ribosomal RNA
Rfam family: Bacterial small subunit ribosomal RNA
Source: RNAcentral
GAUGAACGCUGGCGGCGUGCCUAAUACAUGCAAGUCGAGCGAACGGACGAGAAGCUUGCUUCUCUGAUGUUAGCGGCGGACGGGUGAGUAACACGUGGAUAACCUACCUAUAAGACUGGGAUAACUUCGGGAAACCGGAGCUAAUACCGGAUAAUAUUUUGAACCGCAUGGUUCAAAAGUGAAAGACGGUCUUGCUGUCACUUAUAGAUGGAUCCGCGCUGCAUUAGCUAGUUGGUAAGGUAACGGCUUACCAAGGCAACGAUGCAUAGCCUCCCUGAGAGGGUGAUCGGCCACCCUGGAACUGAGCCACGGUCCAGACUCCUACGGGAGGCAGCAGUAGGGAAUCUUCCGCAAUGGGCGAAAGCCUGACGGAGCAACGCCGCGUGAGUGAUGAAGGUCUUCGGAUCGUAAAACUCUGUUAUUAGGGAAGAACAUAUGUGUAAGUAACUGUGCACAUCUUGACGGUACCUAAUCAGAAAGCCACGGCUAACUACGUG